AGUCGAGCGCACCUUCGGGUGAGCGGCGGACGGGUUAGUAACGCGUGGGAACAUACCCUUUGGUACGGAAUAGCCUCUGGAAACGGAGAGUAAUACCGUAUGAGCCCUUCGGGGGAAAGAUUUAUCGCCAAAGGAUUGGCCCGCGUUAGAUUAGGUAGUUGGUGGGGUAAUGGCCUACCAAGCCUACGAUCUAUAGCUGGUUUUAGAGGAUGAUCAGCAACACUGGGACUGAGACACGGCCCAGACUCCUACGGGAGGCAGCAGUGGGGAAUCUUGGACAAUGGGGGCAACCCUGAUCCAGCCAUGCCGCGUGAGUGAUGAAGGCCUUAGGGUCGUAAAGCUCUUUCGCCUGUGAAGAUAAUGACGGUAGCAGGUAAAGAAACCCCGGCUAACUCCGUGCCAGCAGCCGCGGUAAUACGGAGGGGGUUAGCGUUGUUCGGAAUUACUGGGCGUAAAGCGCACGUAGGCGGACUGGAAAGUUGGGGGUGAAAUCCCAGGGCUCAACCCUGGAACUGCCUCCAAAACUAUCAGUCUAGAGUUCGAGAGAGGUGAGUGGAAUUCCGAGUGUAGAGGUGAAAUUCGUAGAUAUUCGGAGGAACACCAGUGGCGAAGGCGGCUCACUGGCUCGAUACUGACGCUGAGGUGCGAAAGUGUGGGGAGCAAACAGGAUUAGAUACCCUGGUAGUCCACACCGUAAAC
This 699-nucleotide ribosomal RNA is filed under the name Ruegeria sp. AU561. RNAcentral describes it as "bacterial SSU rRNA". It matches the Rfam family "Bacterial small subunit ribosomal RNA", at positions 60 to 807 of the family's 1533-position model. The record is from RNAcentral. Lineage: Bacteria; Pseudomonadati; Pseudomonadota; Alphaproteobacteria; Rhodobacterales; Roseobacteraceae.